AGGCACUGUAGUAGUGACUGGACCUGUGGGACCUCGCGGCAGAGGCACAGACCUUGAUUCAGUCACCGCCAUGGUACCAGAGGUAAGGCAGCAGUCAGCUGUGGCUAUGGCACACGGAGGCAGCUGCGGACAUUAUUGAAACAUCUUUUGAAGUGGGACUUGGGUCUGCAGGAAGGGCAAAGGGAGUAGGACUGGGGAGGGGACGAGGAGAGAGCCGGGGUGGGCAGGAUGGCAGCAGAGGGACCAGGCAAGGGCUGUGGUAAGGGGUUGUGGCAGCUGCUUUUGCGGAGGCGGUGGUAGGCGACAGCUGACGUGUACAGAGGAGGGGGAAGGCUGGCUACCCAAAGGGCACCCACAGCAAAAAAAAGGGGGAUCCUGGGCACCCAGGAGCCUGGGAAAUUGGUGCCUAUGAUAUGUUGAUCUAUCCAUCCGUGCCUGAUAAUAGAGCAUCCAGUUCUGUAUAAUCCCUUGCAAUAUUGCUUUUUUUAAAAAGAAAGAAAAAAAGAAAACCGUUCAGUCUACCUAAACAUAGAAUCAGAGAAUCAUAGAAUCAUAGAAUCAUAGAGUUGGAAGAGACCACAAGGGCCAUCGAGUCCAACCCCCUGCCAAGCAGGAAACACAACACCAUCAGAGCACUCCUGACAUAUGGUUGUCAAGCCUCUGCUUAAAGACCUCCAAAGAAGGAGACUCCACCACACUCCUUGGCAGCAAAUUCCACUGUCGAACAGCUCUUACUGUCAGGAAGUUCUUCCUAAUGUUUAGGUGGAAUCUUCUUUCUUGUAGUUUGGAUCCAUUGCUCCGUGUCCGCUUCUCUGGAGCAGCAGAAAACAACCUUUCUCCCUCCUCUAUGUGACAUCCUUUUAUAUAUUUGAACAUGGCUAUCAUAUCACCCCUUAACCUCCUCUUCUCCAGGCUAAACAUGCCCAGCUCCCUUAGCCGUUCCUCAUAAGGCAUCGUUUCCAGGCCUUUGACCAUUUUGGUUGCCCUCCUCUGGACACGUUCCAGUUUGUCAGUGUCCUUCUUGAACUGUGGUGCCCAGAACUGGACACAGUACUCCAGGUGACUUUUGAGGUCCAGUUCUUAAGGAAGGCAAGCCAUAAUUGACAAAUCCUAUCUUUAUCAGUUAACACCCCGUAUUAGAUCCAAAAUCAGCACAUGCCAGCCACAAAUGGCAAGCACAAUGAGAAAAUCAACACAGUGGGUACAGUUGAUGGCAACCAGAGGGUCUAAUAUAAUCUUAUCAACACAUCAUAAAACCUUAAAAUCACCUUUUCAAUCCAAAUUAUUUAAAUUAAAAUUGAAAGUCUAUUAUGAACCACCCUCCUUUCCCUCCUGCUGGGUUUCAUCUGCACAUUCAAUAGAAAAGCCGAGCGACUGAUUUUUAAAAUCAGCUUUUGGAAGUAAAAGGCUACAUCGGAGAAAGCAAAGCAGUCUACCUACAAAUUGUUGGGACACUGGGGUAUUUCGUUAAGAAAUAACACCCCCUGUAAGGUUGCCUGAAUGCAAUCUCCAAGAGUCAGAUUGCCAUUUGAUAACUUGGCCCCUCCUGCUGGGAAGAUUGACAGCUCUCAAUGUGUUAUGGGGAUAGAUGGUAGCAAGUCCAGGCUUACUUAUACACACACACACUUGCUUUGCUUUCUUAUUAUUCUUUUUAAUCCAACUGCAGUUUCCAGGUCUCAUCUUUAAGGCCUCAUAAUACAGUUCAGCUUGAAACCACACAGUCUAAUUUAAUCAAGCAACCUCUGGAAGAAUAAGAAAGUUAUGCUAUUUUAUUUUUUAAAAAUUAAAGUGUAUUUAAAAUGGAAAUUUCACUUUGUGCCAGAAUCCCUCGACCCUAUUUUAUGAGUAACUUACUCAACAAUUUUAAUCUUUAUUUUUAAAUGGAGGACUAAAAUGGUUCGUUAAUGUGCAAUAGGCUCAUCAGGAAAGGGUCAGGCAAAAAAUCAGUCCUGGGAACAGAGGUAGACAAAACUAUUAAGAACUACAGAGAAAAUAGAGCUAAAAUUACAUUUCUGCAAAUAAAGUUUUUGAAUAUUAAAGUCUGGACAUUGGUUUAAUUUCCAAAUAAAUAUGAUUUGAGCUUUUUAGCUGUGUUUUCACUACCCUUACUUCAAAAUAUGUGAUGCAGGCCAAUUAGUGUCACCCCAAAAAAUUCCUGCUCAGUCCCCUCAGAGAAAGCAACUAGAAGCCUGCAGUGGAAAAGGGGUGGGAGGGUCAGAGUCUGAAUGUGAAAACCUGGAGUACUGUGUCCAGUUCUGGGCACCACAGUUCAAGAAGGACACUGACAAACUGGAACGUGUCCAGAGGAGGGCAACCAAAAUGGUCAAAGGCCUGGAAACGAUGCCUUAUGAGGAACGGCUAAGGGAGCUGGGCAUGUUUAGCCUGGAGAAGAGGAGGCUAAGGGGUGAUAUGAUAGCCAUGUUCAAAUAUAUAAAAGGAUGUCACAUAGAGGAGGGAGAAAGGUUGUUUUCUGCUGCUCCAGAGAAGCGGACACAGAGUAAUGGAUCCAAACUACAAGAAGGAAGAUUCCACCUAAACAUUAGGAAGAACUUCCUGACAGUAAGAGCUGUUUGACAGUGGAAUUUGCUGCCAAGGAGUGUGGUGGAGUCUCCUUCUUUGGAGGUCUUUAAGCAGAGGCUUGACAACCAUAUGUCAGGAGUGCUCUGAUGGUGUUUCCUGCUUGGCAGGGGGUUGGACUCGAUGGCCCUUGUGGUCUCUUCCAACUCUAUGAUUCUAAAACCGGAGAGUGCUGUGUGGAGUGGGCUUAAAUAGCCUGAUCUCUACUUCUCCCCUAAAUGACCAGUUGCCCCAUGUGGUUGAGGGAGAGGGAGAGGGAGAGGGAGAGGGAGAGGGAGGGAGAGAGAGAGAGAGAGAGAGAGAGAGAGAGAGUUUACAGUAUGUAAUACCCCUUGUACUUUAUUUCUAACUUGUACAAUUUCAAAAUAUGGAUAUGCAUUGCAUCUUUCUGAUAUCAUUCAGAAACUUUUGAGUUAAUUCAGUGAAUUAGUAAAACUGAAUCAGUUCAUUCUAUACACAGCUUAGAACACACUGCUUUCACGAACUGUUUUAGUUUGACAAUAUAGCAUUAUUUAUCUUGCAAAAGCUCCUCUUACCAACUUGACUAUUUCUUGAGAGUUUGUGGUGCCUGUGGGGGAUAACUCCAGCUGAUUUUUUAAAAAAUAAAUCCUUAGUCUCUGUUUGUCUUUAAUUAGGAAUUGACCUACUUGAGUCAAAUCUUAUUCAAAAACUGCCAAAUGCAUUCAAAGAGACUGAAAGUGCAACUGGUAACCUAUUUGUCUCAGCAAAUGUGUGAUUUCAUAGAGCUACAGUUUUUUUUAAGUACAGCUUUAUAAAAUAUUUUCUCAUGCAAGAGAGACCCUCAAGUAGCUGUCAUCGCACAGCAGUGGGUAAAAGCAAGAAUUGAGUAGUUCCCUCAUCUCUUCUCUCACUAUAUAUUAAUAACUAGAGAUUAUUGAAGUCAAUUAGACUAACCACAUAGUUUUUGAAGUUGAUUUGACUCAACACAGCCGAUUCUUAAUUAAAGGCAGUCAGCUUUACUAGGUGAGCAUGUAACACUGUCUUUUAAGUCUUUGGGAAUAUCUGAAGAUGUCUUCUACUUAGUCCAGGUCCAUCUUGCUCAGUAUUGUCUGCAGCAGUGUUCUUCAACCUUGGGUCCCCUUGUUGGACUACAUCGCCCACCAUCACUGGCCAUUGGCUAAGCUGGCGGGGGAUGAUGGACACUGUGGUCCACCAACAUCUGAGGAUUCAAGGUUAAAGAACCUCCAGAUGUUGUAGGAUUCUAACUCCCAUCAGUCUCAACCAGCAGCAGGGUCAGGGAUGGUGGGAGCUGUAUUGUGACAAUAUCUAGAAGGAUCCCCAGCCAUGAUCUACGCCAGGCAUAGGCAAACUCGGCCCUCCAGAUGUUUUUGGACCACAACUCCCAUCAUCCCUGACCACUGGUCCUGUUAGCUAGGGGUGAUGGGAGUUGUAGCCCCAAAACAUCUGGAGGGCCAAGUUUGUCUGUGCCUGAUAUACGCUGACUGGUGUGGCUCUUCAAGGUUUCAGCUCCGCCCAGAGAUGCUGGAAAUUAGGAUGUGAGGGCGAUCUGGCUGCGACAUCUGUCACCCCAUUGAUCGCCAGGGUUGAGAUGCUGGAAAUUGAAUCUGAGACUUUAUGUAUGCAAAACAGAUUUUUGCCACUAGCUACACCCUUUCCUGUUUCCAAUUUUACAGUUUUUGAAGAAUAUGUGCAGAUUUUUCAGAAUUUAUACAGUUUUGUCAUUGAAAACCUGCACUGAAAAGGGAUGGAAUUAUUUAGCCACAUCCUGUGAUGAACUGGCUCAACAUCUACUAGGUCAGGCGGACGGGUCGGGUCUUGGAUCACUGUCUAAAUUUCCCAAACUGUAGCGUCACUUUAGGCCAUUUUGAGAAAUUAAAAUUGUGUUCUGGCCUUGACUAGGGUCACUAUGGUGAACCCUGCUGACUGAAAUUGGCAUGUGCUGAUGCCUGGCCUGAGUGGUGGACUGAUGGGGACAAUUAUAAUGGGAUUCUGUGAGAGCUGCUCCCUCUUUGUGUAGGGCACAAGAUUACAUCCCACCCCUUGGCCACAAACAUAAAUCCUUCCUGUAUUGAUUUUACUAUUUCAUAUUUGCAUCCAUUAUGUUCCUUGCAGUGGAGAAGCUACACACACACAAACACACCACAUAACUUCCAGUUGCAUAUUAAUAACUAACAGAGAUUUGCCCUCUCUUGGUCAACCUCCUUACAUCUCCAGCAUCUCCAGAAAAAUAGGUGUUGGUACUCAUCAGGUAGUUGUUACAGUAAGUGCCAUAUUUUUUAACAACAACAAAAAGGGGUGACGGUACUGUGUGCCCUUGAGGAAACACAUUGGCCACCAUCCCUUUACAUUUGAAACAGUUGCUCCAAAAGCAUACUUCCAUAUAUUGGGACCAAUGCACAGGAUAAAUUAAAAAAAAGUGUUAUAUAUACACAUACAUAAUUCUAUGUGCUAUUAAAUGUCACUACAGCAGAGUUCUGUGGAAAGAAUUAUUUGCUAUACUCAGACCCAGUCUGAAUAUAAGCUUUUCAACAAUCACAUGGCCUUUGGAGAUGCCUGUUGAACAUCAGUAACAUUUCAGAUUGGUUAUUUCAUUUUCUAAACUACCAUAUUUAGACACCCACAAAGCAAGAGGUUAAUCAUCCCGUAAAAUGAAUAUGUGUUAUAAAUUGCAGCCCAUUACAUAGAAUGAAGAUGGCAAAGCAAUAUAUUUGGAAAUAGUAACUGCUGAUUAUUAUGUAAGAUAUGUGGGGAAAGAGAAGAAGAAAAUAACCUACGUGUGAUCCAGUCACAAGCCAAGCUCUUUCAAAUAUGAUUUCAGUGGAAGAGAUUUAACUCUCUCCUAAGAAGUUGUCUUCUUGAUUUGGGGGUUUGUUUGUUUUUUGCUUCUUCAAAAUUUUGUACAGGCUGAUGUUCAGCAUGCACGCAUCCACAAAUCCCAGAAUGGAAAUGUGAAAUAGCUGGUGUUAAGGUCACAACAAAGAAUCUGCACCCAUUAACUUUACCUAAGUGAACCCUGCAGGGAUCCUUAACUUGCUCAAAAGGCUUCUGCCCUUUCUCCAUGGAUGAGACCACCUCAAUGUCAGGACAGAAAAUUAACUCAUUUGCAUCAUCCUGGAAGGUUGUAUUCAAUCAACUUUUCUUAAGAGCAGACCCAUCAAAAUUAAUGAAAUAAGUGUAGGAAUGGUCAUUCAUUUCAUUGGGUUUACUCUGAGUAAAAGUUAGUUGACUAUAACCCUCAGGCUGUAGGGAGCCUCCAUGAGUACAGUAGGCUCUGGACUUUGUACAUCCAGCCUCUAAUUCAUGGAAGGCAUCUGGAACAACAAUUGUGGGUAUAGAUAUUGCACUCAUAUCUGUGUCUUCCUCAUGUGGAAGGCUGAGGGAUAAAAUCGAUUUUGCUUGCAUUUUAAUUUGAAGCUACCUGAUUCACAAUUCUUGAACCAACAUAUGAACCAAAACACAGCCACCCUCCAAAACGUUCACUUAUCUAAAUUUUGCAAUGCAAUUCUCUAGCCAGUGUUUACAAAAAUGCAUAUAUUGGGCAAAAGGAGGAAAAAAAACUGAAAAUAAGUGUGAAAAUGAGAUACAAAAAUGCAUUCUAUUAUGGGAAAACAUACACAUUGGUCAAAACUGUAUAUAAAAAAACCCCAUGGGGUUUUUUUAAUAGAAAUGUGCUCUAAUAUGCUGAUGGAUUUUUCAUGAAGGUAAAUGUGGAGAACUGAUUUUAAGAUUGGAAAAUGAGAAAAUGAGAGAACUAAAAUUGACAGAUCCAUCCAUCUCUACUUCCAUGCUUUCUUUACAUGGUAUGCAAAUACCUGAAGGUUGUAAAACAACUGAACUAUAUCAUUGUCAUCCAGAAAAUGUUUCAUUUUAAUAAUGCUAGGCUGAAAAGAGAAAAUCACAUAGAUUUCUGAUUUAUAAACACUUCAACCUUCUUGCAUGAAAUGGACCAAAUAGUUUAUGUAACGCCAUUCCCCAAUGCCCAUGCUUUACUUGUGUUAUCCAGCUAAAUUAAAACUUUGAGUGAAAUGGAAUGCCCUGCAUUCUACCCCCCUUGCAUAUAUUGAGACAUAAUGCUUGCAUAAUGACACCACAAUUAUUGUAAGUGCAUCCCAGUGAACAUAACUUUAGCUGCAAGGGGACAUCCCGUUGCCUUUAAUUCAGCUCCCAAACAUCCAAGACUAAUUAAAAGCCUGCAUGGAAGAUUUAUGACAUAGAAGAAAAGGAUUUUCUCACAGCAAAAUCUGCCAAGCACAAUGGUAAGGAUUUGGAAUCUUUGGAACAAGAGAAGACAACACUGUACUAAAUGUUCUUUUGCUGCUCCCAAAGAACGAUGCUAAAUGCCCUUUUCAAGUACGUGACUUCAAUCAGAGGUUAUUGGGAGAGACAGAUGAAUAAAUUGGUAGAUGAAUGCAGAUCAUUUUCAAGUAGUUCUGACAAAGCUGAUAAUGUGGGCAGCUGAAUGUGCAUGCAAGGGAGAAUGUUGCACAUUUCUAAACCUUUAAGGCAGGAGAGGAGAACCUCAGGCCCAGAGGCUAAAUGUGGGGAAAAACCCUUGGCACUCUUCCCAGAUAACAUCUUCCAAGAUAACACCCUCCUUGAAUGCUUUUGUCUGGUUGGCAUGUGUCUAAAGUGUAAAAACUGUGAUAAUGCCUCUUGCUUGUCUGGAAGGAGGCAGACUAAAAUGUCGGUGAAAUUUUGUGAGGGUUUUUUUAUUUUAUUUAAUGCAAACUGAUGUGGAAAUAUGGAGCACAGAGGUCUAGACUGGAACAAAUAAGAAACAGAGAGAAACCAAGAUUGACAGAUUUGCCCAUCUCUACCUGGGUGCUGGUAAAGCACUGCACAGAAAGAAUCUCUUUGGGCUCCCAUUUGUUCUGGAUCUUGGCAAGUCAUUAUUUUUGUAAAAAAAACAACAGCUUCGAGGUUCUCCUUUAGAAAGCUCAAGAACUUAACUUUUGGGCUGUCCUGGUUUUUACUUUUUGAAAAUCAUGUCAACUUCUGCAGUGUAUUAAUCAACAUAAGUACACAUGUACAUAAGUAAAACACAAUAGAAAAAUAAUAUUGAUAUAAUCUUACAAACAAUGUUAUCAACCAUUAAUGAUAGAUCUGGAGGUACAAGAAACUUUAAGAAAACUGCAUUUACAUAAUACAGUUGUACCUUGGUUCUCAAACUUAAUCCAUUCUGGAAGUCCGUUCCAAAACCAAAGCAUUCUAAAACCAAGGCAUGCUUUCCCAUAGAAAGUAAUGCAAAACGGAUUAAUCCAUUCCAGACUUUUAAAAACAACCCCUAAAACAGCAAUUUAACAUGAAUUUUACUAUUUAACGAGACCAUUGAUCCAUAAAAUGAAAGCAAUAAUAAUGUACUGUACUAUAAAAUAAGAAAGACAGUAUUGUAGAUGAUAAAAAUUAAAAUUAUUAUUUUUUAUUACCUGCACGGAUGAUAGUCAUGAUUUGGAUGGGGGGCUUUUAUCCAUUUUCACAGUAACACAAUCAAUCAAUCAGUCAGUCAGUCAAUCAGUCAAUCAAUCAGUAGCUGAACUGGGUUCCACACAGUCACAAAAACAAAUUAACCAGAAAAGCCUCAAAAACAAAAACGCAAAAUAAAUAGCAAAAACAAAAGCGCCAGACUUAUUCUGUUCCAGAAGUUCGUUUGACUUCCGAAAUGUUUGAAAACCAAGGUGCAGCUUCUGAUUUGUGCAGGCGUCUUGAAAACAAUAGCCAACAACUGCAUUGGAUGUUCGGCUUCUGAAAAACGUUUGAAAACUGGAACACUUACUUCUGGGAUUUUGGCGUUUGAGAACCAAGGUAUGACAGUAUUGCAUUACAAAAUUCAGGCACCCCCCCCCCAAAGGGAACUAUGGAACAUUCCUGAUACCUCCAUUCUAUGCAAUUCUGAAAUACACAAUCAGAGGAGAAAGCUUGUUGAGAUUAUACUAUCUAAGAAGCACCCCUUAAGUGUGUAUUAAGUAUAGUUUAGCACUAGUAUGUUUCCCUUGGACAGCAAUAUAGGCAAAAGUUUGGGAAUCAUCCUUAAAGCAUUAUAAUAUUCCCAGUUUUGACAGAAGGGUUACUAAAGUAAAAGGAGUCCCUAUGUGUACACACACAAAUUAAAUAAAUAACCUCACCAACACCUGGUUCUGAAUACAGCAUUGCACCUUUUUUUUUGGGGGGGGGGUGCACCGAGUAUAUCCUCCUACCAGUAUUUUUAGCUGUCUUGAUAAUACAGCCACUCUCCUGCCUGGCAGCAUAAUUACAGCAAUCAACAUCUCAGUUCCAAGAAUCUGAAAUAACAAAGCUGAAGCUCUUUAUUUGUGGAAGAAAAUCUUGAACUGUCUCACAGAGGGGAGAGGCCUAGACUAGGGACUGACUGGUGGAAUAAAUCAGGACCUAUCUUGUAUGUCAAGAGAAAGAAGCUUCUGUUUGGAACUCUGUAUUGGAAAAAUAGUACAAUAAUUCACAAUACUUUUCUUUCUGUGUACACAACUCUGUCCACCUGCUCCCUCCGUUUCCUUCCUUGUAACCAGCGGUGAGGAGUCUUUUUUCAGCACAAAGGCCACAUUCCCUUGUGGACAAUCUUCUGAGGACCGUAUGUGAGUGGCGAGGCUAAGCUAGGCCACAGCCACCCAUCCAUACCUCUCUCUCCCCCAUCUAGGCAAGCAUUAUUGGAGUUCAAGGAUACAUUUCAGCCAGCCAAAAGCGCUCAGAAUGCAAAAUAGGUCUGCAACCUGGGUAAUGGCUGAGAGGUGUAGCCUGGGGAAAACUCCAAGGGCCAGAUAGAUGGGCCUGUGUUUCCCCACCCGUUCUCUACAAACACAGUUUUUCUUCCUCCAGGGGACUUUCUGAAAUCUGCUUUUUCACCUUAAAUAUAACACAAGUUGGUCUGAGUUGAUGGAGUGCUAACGCUGUGCUUUGUUGAGCAAGUCAUUUCCAGAGCACCUAUAUAUUAUUAAGCCUGAUUUGUUUGCACAAAGUUUGCCUGUUUACAUGAUACCAGCUGUGUAGUAUUUAUUCUGACUUGCCUGUCAGGAGGUUAGAUGAUGUUGCAUCAAGCAAGAGUGAUCCCACACUUUCCAGUGCAUCUUUCCCAUCACUCUCCUUAUUACCAAAAGUCCAUUUUGUGGGAUUACCAGUGUCAUAUAGCCAACAUGCUUAAGUCCAUAUACACAUUUAGAAAAAUACUCUGUGAUCACAAGUAACAAGCACUGGUUUCUUAACAACAAGUAAUGCCAGACUAACCUUAUUUCUUUUUAUCUUUAAUCAGUUGAGACACAUUAAGUUCUCAAGUGGAAGGGGAAAGGGGCCCUGCCAUGAUUUUCAGAUUAUAAAAUGGUCUGCUAAACAGACAAUUGGUUCUUCCUGAGCUGGCUAAGAACAUUUGCAUGUUUCCCUGGAAUUUCCAAGUUUUGAGCUUAGGAAAAUGCCUUAUAUUGAGCUCAACCAUUGACCCACCUAUCUCAGAAUUGCCCACGUUGACUGGGAGUGACUCUCCAUGGUUUUAGACAGGGGGCAUUUCCAGCCCUACCUGUAGAUGCUGAUGCAAAGCAGAUGCUAUGGCCCUUCCCCAGGUUGAUCAUUAUUAUGGCCUGGAGAUCAUCUGUCAUCACCAUGAUGACUCACCAUCUUCCUGGACCAGUCUGCAGCCCGCCUGUUUCUCCACCUGCUGCCUCUUAUUCUGCACAGACCAACAUCAUGGCUUUUGCCAUAGCUGGUGUAUUUUGAACUGUCCCUUCUGCAGAACCCCUUGAACCUCUGCCAAGUGGUCUGUGGAGCUUCUUGGCAAUGUCAGCAGAUGCUCAAGGCAAAAGUGUUCCGAUCACAUAGGUGACUUUGCAUCUUCAGAAUCCUAAGUCAGUCGCAGUGUAAUCCUGUACAUGUCUACUCAGAAGUAAACCGCAUUGUCUGCAGUGGGAUUUCCUCACCAGUUAAGUGUGCAUAGGAUUGCAGCCGUAGGCAUUUUUGGGUAACAUUAUAUAUGGAAAGCACAUGAAGCCAAUGACCGGGCAACAACGCCAGCCCCCUAGUAAAGUUGAGUUGAUAUUCACAUUUCCAAUUCCUAGUACGCUUCUCACUCUGUGGUUGGCUCAUUAUCUGCCCCAGUGGAUCAAUUAAUUUUUCUCCACCAUCUGUUAAGCCAGUUAUCGCUUCCCCUGGAUGCUGCCGCAGAUCUGCCACGUCCUUUAACAACAAAAGACUGUACAAACCAGAGAGGCAGCAGGUGAAGCUCCUGGUGGUUACAGUACAGUGCAGAAUGUCACUUAUUAUCCAAGGUGGAUGAAAGGAAAACCUAGUGAGUCUGGGGUGGGCAUGAGGCAUCACCUUGGAGUGACUCGAGCAUAAAACUGAGACAGCUGUAUUUCCCCGAUCUGUUUGAUAAAAACUGUAUUUAUUUCAACCACCUGCGUGCAACUCUUGGGUGUUGGUUGUGGUGUAGAAAUUAACUCCAUGCAAUUGUGAGGUUCUUUCACACGAGAAAUAUUCCCCACAUAAGGUAUUCCUUAUGAGAUGGGGCUACCCGAUAUUCAGGUGGGGCUUCAAGAAAAUGAGGUGGGUGGGGUGGGAAUCCACAGUAAAUGCCCCUCUCACAAAGGGAUUUACCAAAGAUUAAUGAUAUUACAUGCCUAUUUUCCACAUUAAUUGCCUAGCUGCAUCCAUUCUCUGGACAUCUCAGGCAAAUAGUAUCCACUCUCUGUAGUUUCAGAACAAAUGGAAGGGGCAGCAUUUUAUAUGUUAAAAAUAAUGAUACUGAAUUAGUCUUUAUUACAGAUUAAUUAAUCCCGAACAGUUUUGUCUCUUGCACCACCCACCACUGGCAUGAAGCUGCUGACAAAUUACCCCAAAGAGAAUGUGACCUUUGAUACGGAAAGGUUGUCCACCCCUUGCAUAAGGUUUAAGCUGUUGGAACAGCAACACAAAAAACCUUUGGUCAGGAAAAUAAUAAUAAUGUGGACUUUCCUAUACUUGUUACUGCCAAAGAAGUUUAGGUAGCACAUUUUUUAUUUUAAAAAUCUUUUGAAAUAUUAUGCUUUUAAUAAAAUUAAAACUGCAAAAUUUUGUCAUCUCUGUGUGCUACCACAGCUUCUUUGCAAGCUUCCAAAGGGACCUAAAAUUUGUCUCACUGUCACAUUUAAAAUACCGGUAUAUUAUUGCCCAAGCAUUAAUGAAUAUCUCUGCCUAGGCUGCUCUUUUGCAACUAAAGAAAUCUUAUGACACUUGUACAUACACAGGGAACCAAAGGAAUAAUUGUGUUGUCGUGUUUUCUUUCCUUACAAUAACAAAGAUGGCUUUUCACAUUAAGCACCAAAUGGCCUGUAAAAGUGGAGCAGAAAAUAAAGUAAACCUAAUUCUGUGGAAUGGCAAAAUCAGGCUGCACUUUCCUUGAAAAUAUAGGCUUUCCCCCUUCUUAAAUAUGUCACUUAGACUCAUCAAAGUGGCUUUUUCUGCCCCUGAAGUCCAAUUUUUUCAAAAAGCAAAACCAUGGAUUCAGUGAAGAAACCAAAUAUGAUAGGUUUCAGCGGGACUCUUCCCCUUUCAAUUUAUCUCUUCCUGGAAAUAAUGUGGUGUUCUUUUUGGAAAUGCUUGCACAGCCUUUUAAAAAUACACUCCAGCUGUGAAUCAUAGACAUUAUAGCCAGAGAAAGCCCUCUAAAUACACGGCAGCACAAUCCCAUCCCCCUGGUUAUAUAGGAUUGUUCACUAUGGUAUUUCACGCACAGUUGAACAUUCUUUCUCUAAGGAUUCAAGGCCAACCAGCACAUUCAAGAGAGGGGGAAUCAAGCAAUAUAGGCCUCAUGGGACUCAGCAACCUGAGAAUGUAGGUGUGGGGGAAAUCAUAUGUUUGCUCUAGUCUGAAGCUGCCAUUUUUUAUUUUCAUUUUCAAGGGGAACUUUGGGGUGCAGGACACUCCAUUUGCAUUCUGAAAUGGUCCAGAGUUCUUGAGUGGCCUGGAAGGAUGGAUCUGACAAGGAAGAAAGGCUCACAUAGCAGAAGAUGAAACAAAUAAGGUUGCUUCGCCACAUGCGUCUCAGAAUGGCUUACUGGUAGAACAAGGAGAUUUCGAAGGUGAUCAUGGAUCAUCAUAGGAAGUAGCAGCAGGUGAAGUUGCACCUGUUUGCACUGGCCUUUGAAGAAGAAGGUUGAGGUGAGAUGAAAUGAAAUGAUUGUUGUCACUUC
RNAcentral lists this long non-coding RNA (12725 nucleotides) under Podarcis lilfordi (Lilford's wall lizard). Lineage: Eukaryota; Metazoa; Chordata; Lepidosauria; Squamata; Lacertidae. The record is from RNAcentral.